Molecule: unclassified non-coding RNA, 326 nt
Filed under: uncultured fungus
Lineage: Eukaryota; Fungi
Description: partial contains 5.8S ribosomal RNA and internal transcribed spacer 2
Rfam family: 5.8S ribosomal RNA (bases 1-133)
Source: RNAcentral
UGGUUCUGGCAUCGAUGAAGAACGCAGCGAAAUGCGAUAAGUAAUGUGAAUUGCAGAAUUCAGUGAAUCAUCGAAUCUUUGAACGCACAUUGCGCCCCCUGGUAUUCCGGGGGGCAUGCCUGUUCGAGCGUCAUUUCAACCCUCAAGCCUGGCUUGGUGAUGGGGCGCUGCUCCGCGAGGAGCAGGCCCUGAAAUCUAGUGGCGGGCUCGCCGGGACCCCGAGCGCAGUAGUUAAACCCUCGCUCCGGAAGGCCCUGGCGGUGCCCUGCCGUUAAACCCCCAACUCUUGAAAAUUUGACCUCGGAUCAGGUAGGAAUACCCGCUGA